GGCAGAGUCUGAGGCCCAGACUGGGUCCCCUGAGUCUUUAGCAUGGGGCUCUUCCAAGACCCCGGAGGGUUAUCCACAGGGGAUGGCCCUGCUGGCACUUAUGGAGGGGAGAGCUUAUGGGAGACACGUCGGUGGCAGAGAACCUGUGACAGUCGUUCCCAGACGUUUUCUAAGACGUUGUCGUUCAUACAGACUCAUCCGACUAUGCUGUCAUUGUGCUAUUUACUUGUCUGUCGAUUGGAACAGUGGCAGAUCUUCAGCCCAGCUGUAUAUCGCACCCUAGCACCACCUGGGAGAUUACAAACACCAAGCUUCUACCCCACAGAUUCUGAUUUGGUUGCUCUGGGGUGGGACACAGGCAUUUUUCCUCUCCUUGAGUGAUGCCAAUGUGCCGCCAGGGCUGAGAUGUCACUCUAGUGACUGUCACCUUUCUACAGGAGGGGGCAGGGGCCUCCUGAUGACAGGAGACAACUCAGGGCAAGCAAAAUUCUGAAAUGUGGUCGGCCUCCAGCCCCACUAAUUAUGCAGGGGUACUGAGUUUCUCAA
This is a long non-coding RNA of Homo sapiens (human), 546 nucleotides long. RefSeq lists it as uncharacterized. NCBI's taxonomy places the organism in Eukaryota, Metazoa, Chordata, Mammalia, Primates, Hominidae. The transcript is spliced from 2 exons. The record is from RefSeq and is a predicted model, not a curated record.